AUACGGAGGGUGCGAGCGUUAAUCGGAAUUACUGGGCGUAAAGCGCGCGUAGGCGGCUUGGUCAGUCGGAUGUGAAAGCCCCGGGCUUAACCUGGGAAUUGCAUUCGAUACUGCCAGGCUAGAAUGUAGUAGAGGGAAGUGGAAUUCAGGGUGUAGCGGUGAAAUGCGUAGAGAUCCUGAGGAACAUCAGUGGCGAAGGCGACUUCCUGGACUAACAUUGACGCUGAGGUGCGAAAGCGUGGGGAGCAAACAGGAUUAGAAACCCCGGUAGUCC
This 274-nucleotide ribosomal RNA is filed under the name uncultured bacterium. RNAcentral describes it as "partial 16S ribosomal RNA". It matches the Rfam family "Bacterial small subunit ribosomal RNA", at positions 523 to 796 of the family's 1533-position model. The record is from RNAcentral.